Molecule: transfer RNA, 72 nt
Filed under: Gonium pectorale
Lineage: Eukaryota; Viridiplantae; Chlorophyta; Chlorophyceae; Chlamydomonadales; Volvocaceae
Rfam family: tRNA
About the family: Transfer RNA (tRNA) molecules are approximately 80 nucleotides in length.
Source: Rfam by way of RNAcentral
GCCGGUAUAGCACAGUGGUAGUGCGUUCCCUUCGUAAGGGAAAGGUCCAGAGUUCGAUCCUCUGUGCCGGCA